UACGUAGGUGGCAAGCGUUAUCCGGAUUUAUUGGGCGUAAAGGGAACGCAGGCGGUCUUUUAAGUCUGAUGUGAAAGCCUUCGGCUUAACCGGAGUAGUGCAUUGGAAACUGGGAGACUUGAGUGCAGAAGAGGAGAGUGGAACUCCAUGUGUAGCGGUGAAAUGCGUAGAUAUAUGGAAGAACACCAGUGGCGAAAGCGGCUCUCUGGUCUGUAACUGACGUUGAGGCUCGAAAGCGUGGGGAGCAAACAGG
Molecule: ribosomal RNA, 253 nt
Filed under: uncultured bacterium
Lineage: Bacteria
Description: partial 16S ribosomal RNA
Rfam family: Bacterial small subunit ribosomal RNA
Source: RNAcentral